AUGUGGAAUAAAGCGAAACGUUCUCACCAAAUUGCGGCCCCGCAGGACCAUUAUUUGUACAGGAAGCGACAUUUUUAUGAAUUUACUUCGCCAGCGGCCCCUCGGCUGCGUCGGUCCGUUGCCGCGGCAACCAGCUCCCCGUUCUCGCGAGAUUUGGCAGCGCGUCCCAACAUGGCGCCCGGCGCGGCCGUGGACGCGGUGCUGGAGCUGCGGGGCCGGUGCGGGGAGGACGAGGCCCGGAUCGCCGCCAGCGUCCGGCGCUGCAGGCAGCUGCUGCGCGGCAGGGAGACGCGCCUGGUGGAAGCAGCGAGCGCCUCGGAGGAACCGGGCCCGGCGGAGGAUCUUCCUCCUGAGGAGCUCCAAGAUCUCCAUCUGCUGGACCGACUGCUGGAGAAGGCCAUGCGGGUUCGCAGCGGUGUCACCAGGCUGGGCGUGGCCGGUCCUCCAUCCAGGGAGCGGACCCGGGCGGCGACCCUGCAGCCACCUGCAGCUCCGUGUCCUCCAUCCAGCCUCAUCGGUGGACCUUCAUCAGUGGUCAGGAAGUCGUCGUCUUCAGCUGGAGCUGCCACCAGGCCGGGCGUGGCCGGUCCUACAUCCAGGGAGCGGGUGGCGAAGAUGAACCGAACCCGGGCGAUGACCCUGCAGCCACCUGCAGCUCUGUGUCCUCCAUCCAGCCUCAGCAGUGGACCUUCAUCAGUGAGGAAGUCAUCGUCUUCAGCUGGAGCUGCCACCAGGCCGGGCGUGGCCGGUCCUACAUCCAGGGAGCGGGUGGCGAAGAUGAACCGAACCCGGGCGAUGACCCUGCAGCCACCUGCAGCUCUGUGUCCUCCAUCCAGCCUCAGCAGUGGACCUUCAUCAGUGAGGAAGUCAUCGUCUUCAGCUGGAGCUGCCACCAGGCCGGGCGUGGCCAGUCCUCCAUCCAGGGAGCGGGUGGCGAAGACGAGCCAGAGCCAGGCGACGACAUUGCAGCCGCCUGCAGCUCCGUCUCGUCCAUUCAGCCUCAGCGAUGGGCCUUCAUCAGUGAGGAGGACAUCGUCGUCUUCAGUUCCUCUCUGCAGUGCUCCGCCUUCGCCAGCCUGGGCCGCACCGAUCGCCCGCCAGGACAGGUUGUGGGACGAGGUCGUGUCCCGGCAGCACCAGUCGGUUCCAGAGCGGAGACGCUUCGUUAAGAAGCUGCAGGUCCUGCUUCCAGCUCCUCCCCUGGUCCCCGCGGACGCCCGGUGCGAGGCGGUCCGGCUGGCCCGGCUGGGCGGAGCUCUGAGGCGCUGCUACCACGCGGAGCUGAGCAUGAUGGGAGUGCGGCCGGGCGAAUCGGACGCGAUGCUGGAGCGGCUGGAGAAGAUGAUGGUGGACGUUUGUGCAGAAGCGGCGCAGCUCAGAACCGAGCUGAACGCCGUGGACGAGUCUGUGUCUAGAGGGAUGUGUCCCGUCAGGAGGGCGGGCUGGGGCGGUCAGGUGAAGCCCCGCCUCCUUCCUGCUUUGAUCUACCGCAGCCAAUCGGAGCUCCAGGAGGUGGAGCUGCUGCGCAUGAGGGUGGAGCUCCUGGAGCAGGAGCUGCACCUGCAGCAGGUGAGACUAAAGCAGGAAGUAUUUUCUACAUUUACUCGCCGGAACUGCUGCAUCAAUGUAUGAUGGGUGUGUUCCCUCAGGUCCUCUCUGAAGCCCUAAGCCCCGCCCAGUCGCCUCCGUCCUCUCUGAGCGCCGCCCGUCUGCGGGGCCUUUACUCCCUGCUUGCUGAAGGCGGGUCCCGCUUUCCUUCUCUGGUGCUGGACUCCAGGCCGCAUAUCCCAUAAUCCCCGGCGUCAUGUGAUCCACCGCAUCGCUGUGCUGAAUAAAGGAUUAAACGACUGCUUGUGUUUUGUGGCGUCAGAGCUG
Molecule: long non-coding RNA, 1875 nt
Organism: Denticeps clupeoides (denticle herring)
Lineage: Eukaryota; Metazoa; Chordata; Actinopteri; Clupeiformes; Denticipitidae
Source: Ensembl